This is a long non-coding RNA of Peromyscus leucopus (white-footed mouse), 2051 nucleotides long. RefSeq lists it as uncharacterized. The record is from RefSeq and is a predicted model, not a curated record. The transcript has 3 exons. NCBI's taxonomy places the organism in Eukaryota, Metazoa, Chordata, Mammalia, Rodentia, Cricetidae.
AUUGUGCAUAUGCAUGGAUACAAUGUGAUACAUUGAUAUAUGUACGUAUUGUGGAACAACUAAUAUUUCUGUCUCCUCAAAUAUCAUGUUACCAUCUUUAAGUCAAAAAAUUUAUAUUCUUACAGUGAUUUUAAAUAUACAGUUAUUACUAUUAACUAUGGUCAGCUUGUUACACAAUAACUCAAAGAAUUAUGCCUCCUGGUUAACUUCUGCCAAUUUCUUCCCAUUCUCUAGCAUACCCUCAACUUCUGGAAAGCGCCAUUUUUCUGUCUUGCAGAGUCCAAGACAACUGUCUGUAAAAAGUGCCACAUUUAAACCCACAUGGUUUUUCCUCAUAGAUAAGUUCAACUUGAACAUUUUCCAACAAAAAUAUUCUGUCUGUUGAGUUUGAAUCAAGGUCACAAGCAGUAGCUGAGAGCAUUCUUUCCAGAAAAGAAAGUGGAGGAGGGGGCUGUACCUAAACCAUUCUAGGGAGAUGAAACCGUCCAGCGGUUCUAGUUCCAGAAGGAAGCUGAAGGACUUGAAGCAUCUGGCCUUGCGCCCUUAUGUUGUCACAGCCCAUAGCUCAUCUUUCUCAGUGCCCUUGGCAGCUGAUCUGAAUACCGAGUGUACAUAAACUUCAAAGGAAGCAGGCAGGAUGGAGUUGUGGCCUUGCUGCUUUAAUCAAGAUGGAUUCCAAACCUCUGCUUAUCAAGUAGGAAACUGAAACCAGCAACGGAGAAUGAAUGGCCCUGAAGAAGAAGAAACUAGCCAUUGAAAAUGUGCCAGAGCUCAACAGAACACUGUAUUUUAAAUGGUAGUACUUUCCUAGUGCCUGUUGGUGGAUUCACUUUAUUUUCUAUCUAUGUAAAUGAGAUUAGCAUGUGAAUUAGAACCUCCAGUGAAGUAUUGCCUACAAAGUUCAGGAUAACAGGCAAGGGCACAAAACAGGGCUUCCAUUUGCAUGCCCUCCACUGAUAUUCCUGCCUUGAUCUUGAGACUGCCUAAGCUUCUUCGGCCAGUAGUGGGAAUGGUACUGGUUCCUGACUCUGUACCUCAAGGAGACAUCGUUCAAGCCUCCACUUGCCUCUUUUUUGGGGGGCUCUGCCUUGUACAUGGACCAUUCAUGUAAGAUGUAUCGAUCAAUGACAGGUUCAGAGUUCUUGUUCUCAAGUCAGUCUUCUGAAGGGAAGCAUGGACUCUGGCAGAAUAAGUACUCUCUAAUAUUCAUAGCAUCUGUAAGGGAGAAAGAAAACUGCUAUGCCCAUGUCCCUGUCCCUGUACUCAGAAGAAUGCUGUGCAUAGAAAUCAUAUUUGACUUUUAUAAUCUAUUUUGCCCUGGGUGUGGUGGUGUCCCAAAGCAUCAAGACUCGGGGUUUUAUUUCUCUUCUGCUGAGAGGAGCCACACAGAAGCUUUAUGUGGCCAGGGCAGGAAGAAUCACAGGGGAAGAAGGAAGGUACAUGGGGUGGGAGUUCGGAGGUGAGGGUGGGGGGUGCCUGGGACCAGGCCCUCUACAGAUGCUUCAUAACCUAUGCACGAACUGCUCUGAGUUCUCUACUUCAUCCGAGACAGACACACCCACUUCCCUCUCAGCCUCUCACAGACAUCAAAAGGAGAUUGUUCAGAGACAGAACCCAAAGACAGGCGGGGAACUCACAGACUGAAUGUCUUGCUCUCAAUGGGGGAGCUUUAUUGAAAUUAUGCAAAUAAGAACACUACCUCCUUCCCAUCCUCAUCCCCACCCUGGGUCUGCUGUGCAGUCCCCCUGUGAAAAGAAGAGAUCAAGGAACAAGAAGGAAGAUCACCCAGGACUUUCCCCUGAUAGUCUAAAGAGAAGAGGAGAGGUCACGAAAGGAACCCCUAGAAAGUGGGCAACAAAGAGUAAUUCUCUCCAGGAGCAUGGACAGUAUUUUUUUUUAAAUUCUCCCAAAAAGAUAUGUAAGUAUUCAAUAAGCACACAAAAAGUGUUCAACUUUGUUAAUCCUUAGGGAAAUGAAAAUCAAAGAUAUGUAAUAAAAAUCUUUGAUUUAUAUGCUAACCAUGUGAGUUAAUAAAAAAUAAAAUAAGACCA